GCAGACAACAACCGCUGGGCGAUGAUUUUGCAGCAAAAUUUAGAGUGGAAGACUGGACGUGAAAGUGGUGGAGAAAAUACAUGCUGGACCGAGCUCCGUGAAAAUUAACAAAAAUGGCAGAAAAUCACCAUGCUCAUUUAAUGCAUCUUGAUCAUGUCAACAGGCUCAGAGAGAUAGCCAAUUGGCCCAGACCCUGACUGGAUUCCUUUUGAGUUGUACAUGGAUGAAGCCUUUCGAAUGCGGUAUCACUGCACUCCAUCUCAUCAACAUGCUUGAGGGUGAUCUGAGGAGGAAUACAGAACGUAGUGAACCUCUACCUGUUGUCAUAUGUGCCAUCGAUGGGACUCACGUCUACAUUAGGAGUCCUGUUGGGGAACAAGCCCUGUACUUCCUUAACCGGAAGAACAGGUAUUCUGUCACUGUGCAGAUUGCAUUUUUAAUAUAAAUGUAUACUCUGUUAUGCCAGUCUGAACUUUUGGGAAAGGGUCGAUAAUGUGACUUGUACUCCUAUCAUCAUUCCAAUGUCACUAAAUAUAAUAGCGGUCAUUGACUUUUUUUAAGCAUUGAAAUUUAGAUUGUUUCAUUUCGCACCCUCUCCUUGUAAUGUACUGUACAGUUUUUAUUUGUCCUUUAAAUAUGCUCUUGAGCAUUUUCCUUACAAAUUUAUUAUCUAGACAUUAGACGCUACAGACUGAGAAUCUAAGUGAGUCUUUCGAUACUUGUGUUUAAUAUAUACAAAAUCUUAUAAUUCCAUUGUAUUUCUUUAAGUUUAGUGUGAAAAUCAUUCAGACAAAGACCAGAUCCUUCUCCUAUUAGGUUUACUUUAAAAAUGAAUACUCACUUUCUUACUGUCAUGCUCUUCAUUUUUCAAUUGAUAAUGCCGAAGUCAUAUAUCAAUAUUCAAUAAAUACUUAAUCAUCAUACAGAGUGAAGAAUAUGUGUAUAUUAAUAACAUAGGUAGGUAAGUAUAUAGUGAUAUACUGCAAUAUCUAAUAGUGCUCGACUGUGUAGGAGCUGAGUAUAAAUAAUUUAUUGGUUGGAUUGCUUAACUAAGCUAGUCGUACAGACUGUUUCACCCUAAGGCUCAUCAUAACUAUAAUAUAUUAUUACCCAUAUUUGACAUCUGAGCUGGACAUUUAAAAUGUAUUGCCCUAUAGCUUUCAUGAAUAUUGAUAAUGAGUCAGGUACUGUAUACUAUAAUUGUUUUUCUCAGUCUUUCUAGUACAAUUUCAUCCAUUACAACAUAAUUCCUAAUUUAUGAAUAGAUAUCUAUAUAAAGUUUUUAUGAUAUCAGUAUUCAAAUGAAUUCUCUAUAAUUUCCCAACCACAUCAGCAAAUCAAGGACUUCUGUAAUUUCUUUAGCUAUAAGUAUUUAAUAUAACCUGCAGUAUUGUUUAUGCAGUGUGUCCCAGAAAAAACGAAACCGAGAUUUAUCGAUGAUUUAUAAUAACUUAAUCACAAAUACAAUAGACAAAUGAUCUACCAUUGUAAAUCUCCUCUUUCAUCUAAAAUUACUUAGAUUAUUUCUCAUUCACGCAUGAGUGAGCAAAACAAUUUGAAAAGGGGAUACCAAAAAGUCAUUUGGCGGGCUCUAUCUGGGUUUUAAAAAGAAAGGCACGUUUUUAAAAAGUUCAAUAUCUGUUCUGUAAUUUGAUACUUCAAUUACAGCAACUGGUCAAGAAAUAACAAAGUUCUGGUUAUUUGAAAUAAGGCUUGAAUUUCAAUAAUUUCAUAAAAUGAAGAGGGUUUACAGGCUAGCGUUUAAACUCACUCGACACUCCGUUUUGUUGACGAUCAGCCAUGCAUUAAGUCUUUUUUAACCAUGUGAUAGCUUCUAUGGGAAACCGGUGAAAACACGUUUAUUUAAUGAAACUUCUUGACUAUUUUUUGUGAUUAAGGUAUCAAAUAAAAGAGCAGAUAUUGAACUUUUGAGACAUGUGAUUUUCUUUUUGAAAUUCAGAUCCCCCCCCGGCCAAAUGAGUUUUUUCUUGGACGCACUGAAAAAUAUAAAUCCCUCAAAAAAAAGUUUGGAAAUCUGUGUUUGGCCAUUAAUUUCUCCCAACUCCCAAUUUUACAUCAUUUAAAAGACCAUUUAAUUCUCUUUAAAAUGAUACCAUGCUUGUUAUGAUUAUGCCAUCGUAAAAAGAGCAGGAUUCAAAAGUGUUGGAUGAGGUCUGAAUUGAAAGCUGCAAAACGAGCAGAAAUAGUCAUGAAGGGUCAAUACAGAACAUGAUUCUUUUUUCUGUGUCAAUACAGAUAAAAAUCCAGUCACAACUAGCCCCUGCUUCUGUCGUGAUGGUACUGUGAGAUAACAUGGUUUGAGUCGUGGUUUGAAAUACCUAUGUUUGUUUGUUUGUUAUGUGUUUGCUUGUGCAGAGGUGUGUUUGAUUCCAUGUUAAUGUUGAUGUUAAGGUGCAUGAAAACAAUCAAAAGAAACCGAUGAGAAACCCACUCAUAAAUAAAAAAAGAACAGUGACUUUCAAUAUUGUGUCAUUUUGCAACUUUUGAAUUUUGACCUUAUCCCACAUUUCAAGGCACUGCACCUCCAUGUGUACCAUAAUCAUAUCAUGUAGGGUAUGAUUUUAAAGAAAAUCAAAUGGUCUAUUCAUUGAUAUUAAUUACACAUUGGUAUAGUCCGAGGAGGGAUUAUCGAUCAAAGUCAGAUUUCCAAACUUUUUUGAGGAGUUUAUAUUAUUGGAUUAUAAUUUUUAUUAAAUUCAAUUAUUAACAGAAUAUGUGUACAUGCAUGGAUAGACCAUAAUUGAUAUUUUAUUAAUUAAUCAUUGGAAUUAGGGAAGCCAAGGGCUUCUCUGUUUUUUGCUGCUUCAAUACAUUUCUGGAAAGAAAAAAUGUCCAUCUUGAUAGCAUGUUCAGCAUUGGCAAUUUCCAUUUUAUUUUCAUAUUCUUCCUCUUUUGUCACACGAGCUCUGUUGAUGCCUUGGGAACAAUUUUCCAAGCUCCUCUUUCGAGGUGAUGCAUUGCUGCUAAAAAUUAUUGACCAAAACCAAAAAAAUUAAUUCCAUGAUCGCAUGAUGUAUUUGAAUUUUAAGAAAUUAAUUUUUACAUGCAUGUCACUCGACUUGCAGAAAAAUUAGUUUUAACAGUCAUAAUCUAUGUAAUCAUAGUUGAAUAAUGUAAAGUGUGGUUAUUCAUGUGUGGAAAAUGUGACAAAAUAAUAUAUUAAAUUGUUGUCAUCAAAUUGAA
Long non-coding RNA from Lytechinus pictus (painted urchin), 3204 nucleotides. RefSeq lists it as uncharacterized. NCBI's taxonomy places the organism in Eukaryota, Metazoa, Echinodermata, Echinoidea, Temnopleuroida, Toxopneustidae. The record is from RefSeq and is a predicted model, not a curated record. The transcript has 3 exons.